UGGGGAAUAUUGCACAAUGGGGGAAACCCUGAUGCAGCGACGCCGCGUGGAGGAAGAAGGUCUUCGGAUUGUAAACUCCUGUUGUUGGGGAAAAGAAGGAUGGUACCCAACAAGGAAGUGACGGCUAACUACGUGCCAGCAGCCGCGGUAAAACGUAGGUCACGAGCGUUGUCCGGAAUUACUGGGUGUAAAGGGAGCGCAGGCGGGUAUGCAAGUUGGGAGUGAAAUACAUGGGCUCAACCCAUGAACUGCUCUCAAAACUGUGUAUCUUGAGUAGUGCAGAGGUAGGCGGAAUUCCCGGUGUAGCGGUGGAAUGCGUAGAUAUCGGGAGGAACACCAGUGGCGAAGGCGGCCUACUGGGCACCAACUGACGCUGAGGCUCGAAAGUGUGGGUAGCAAACAGG
This 404-nucleotide ribosomal RNA is filed under the name uncultured Faecalibacterium sp. RNAcentral describes it as "bacterial SSU rRNA". It matches the Rfam family "Bacterial small subunit ribosomal RNA", at positions 355 to 776 of the family's 1533-position model. Lineage: Bacteria; Bacillati; Bacillota; Clostridia; Eubacteriales; Oscillospiraceae. The record is from RNAcentral.